UACGUAGGGGGCAAGCGUUAUCCGGAUUUACUGGGUGUAAAGGGAGCGUAGACGGCUUUGCAAGCCAGAUGUGAAAGCCCGGGGCUCAACCUCGGGACUGCAUUUGGAACUGUAUGGCUGGAGUGUCGGAGAGGCAGGCGGAAUUCCUAGUGUAGCGGUGAAAUGCGUAGAUAUUAGGAGGAACACCAGUGGCGAAGGCGGCCUGCUGGACGAUGACUGACGUUGAGGCUCGAGAGCGUGGGGAGCAAACAGG
This 253-nucleotide ribosomal RNA is filed under the name uncultured bacterium. RNAcentral describes it as "partial 16S ribosomal RNA". It matches the Rfam family "Bacterial small subunit ribosomal RNA", at positions 524 to 776 of the family's 1533-position model. The record is from RNAcentral.